UACGAAGGGGGCUAGCGUUGUUCGGAAUUACUGGGCGUAAAGGGCGCGUAGGCGGUACUUCAAGUCAGGCGUGAAAGCCCCGGGCUCAACCUGGGAACCGCGCUUGAGACUGGAGAACUAGAGUUCGGGAGAGGAUGGUGGAAUUCCCAGUGUAGAGGUGAAAUUCGUAGAUAUUGGGAAGAACACCGAUGGCGAAGGCAGCCAUCUGGACCGACACUGACGCUGAGGCGCGAAAGCUAGGGGAGCGAACAGG
Molecule: ribosomal RNA, 253 nt
Filed under: uncultured bacterium
Lineage: Bacteria
Description: partial 16S ribosomal RNA
Rfam family: Bacterial small subunit ribosomal RNA
Source: RNAcentral